RNAcentral lists this ribosomal RNA (252 nucleotides) under uncultured bacterium. RNAcentral's name for it is "partial 16S ribosomal RNA". It matches the Rfam family "Bacterial small subunit ribosomal RNA", at positions 524 to 776 of the family's 1533-position model. The record is from RNAcentral.
UACGGAGGAUGCGAGCGUUAUUCGGAUUUAUUGGGUUUAAAGGGUGCGCAGGCGGCACGGCAAGCCGGCGGUCAAAUCGCGGGGCUCAACCCCGCCCAGCCGUCGGAACUGCCGGGCUAGAGUGGGCGAGAAGUGCGCGGAAUGCGUGGUGUAGCGGUGAAAUGCAUAGAUAUCACGCAGAACUCCGAUUGCGAAGGCAGCGCACCGGCGCCCUACUGACGCUCAGGCACGAAAGCGUGGGUAUCGAACAGG